CCAAACUUGGUCAUUUAGAGGAAGUAAAAGUCGUAACAAGGUUUCCGUAGGUGAACCUGCGGAAGGAUCAUUACCAUGGACGGUUCCUCUGGAACCUGGCUCCCCCCGCGCCCUGCCCGCCCCGCGCGCGGCUGGGUGCGGGCGAGACCGAAACACCCCACUGUGAACUUUUUUCAAUCCUUUCUUGCUUCGGCAGCACGCCCUGCAGGCCCUGGGUCCGCUCGGCGGUAAGGCUGCCGCUGGCGCAACCCAACAGAACCACGUUAACGCUAAAAGAUGAAACAUGUUAUCGGGGUAUUCCACCCCGCAUUCUUGAAUCGAAGAAACCUACAAAACUUUCAGCAACGGAUCUCUUGGUUCCCGCAUCGAUGAAGAACGCAGC
This 382-nucleotide unclassified non-coding RNA is filed under the name uncultured fungus. RNAcentral describes it as "partial contains small subunit ribosomal RNA, internal transcribed spacer 1, and 5.8S ribosomal RNA". The stretch from base 1 to 73 matches the Rfam family "Eukaryotic small subunit ribosomal RNA", at positions 1759 to 1831 of the family's 1831-position model. Lineage: Eukaryota; Fungi. The record is from RNAcentral.